AGUGAACGCUGGCGGUAGGCCUAACACAUGCAAGUCGAACGGCAGCACAGUAAGAGCUUGCUCUUACGGGUGGCGAGUGGCGGACGGGUGAGGAAUACAUCGGAAUCUACUUUUUCGUGGGGGAUAACGUAGGGAAACUUACGCUAAUACCGCAUACGACCUACGGGUGAAAGCAGGGGAUCUUCGGACCUUGCGCGAUUGAAUGAGCCGAUGUCGGAUUAGCUAGUUGGCGGGGUAAAGGCCCACCAAGGCGACGAUCCGUAGCUGGUCUGAGAGGAUGAUCAGCCACACUGGAACUGAGACACGGUCCAGACUCCUACGGGAGGCAGCAGUGGGGAAUAUUGGACAAUGGGCGCAAGCCUGUUCCAGCCAUACCGCGUGGGUGAAGAAGGCCUUCGGGUUGUAAAGCCCUUUUGUUGGGAAAGAAAAGCAGCAGGUUAAGACCCCGCUGUUCUGACGGUACCCAAAGAAUAAGCACCGGCUAACUUCGU
RNAcentral lists this ribosomal RNA (491 nucleotides) under uncultured bacterium. RNAcentral's name for it is "partial 16S ribosomal RNA". It matches the Rfam family "Bacterial small subunit ribosomal RNA", at positions 29 to 506 of the family's 1533-position model. The record is from RNAcentral.